AUGAACGCUGGCGGCAUGCCUAACACAUGCAAGUCGAACGGACUUAUGGGGCUUGCUCCAUAAGUUAGUGGCAGACGGGUGAGUAACGCGUGGGAAUGUACCUUUUGGUUCGGAAUAACUACGGGAAACUGUAGCUAAUACCGGAUGAGCCCUCCGGGGGAAAGAUUUAUCGCCAAAAGAGCAGCCCGCGUUAGAUUAGGUAGUUGGUGGGGUAAUGGCCUACCAAGCCUACGAUCUAUAGCUGGUCUGAGAGGAUGAUCAGCCACACUGGGACUGAGACACGGCCCAGACUCCUACGGGAGGCAGCAGUGGGGGAAUAUUGGACAAUGGGGGAAACCCUGAUCCAGCAAUGCCGCGUGAGUGAUGAAGGCCUUCGGGUUGUAAAGCUCUUUUGUCAGGGACGAUGAUGACGGUACCUGACGAAUAAGCUCCGGCUAACUUCGUGCCAGCCGCCGCGGUAAU
Molecule: ribosomal RNA, 462 nt
Filed under: uncultured bacterium
Lineage: Bacteria
Description: bacterial SSU rRNA
Rfam family: Bacterial small subunit ribosomal RNA
Source: RNAcentral